CUCUCUCGUCUCUCUCGCUUCGGUCUCCCAGAUGUCUUUUCUGCUGCUGAGCAGACUGGCAGGCAGCCGGUGAUGGGGCCCUACUUGGAAGACCCCCUCCUCUGCUGGCUCCUGCGAUUCUUCAGCCUCCUCGUCAGUGUCUACAGCAGUGGGACCAAUGGUGGAGGCCCUGCUCCUGGAGUUCAGGAUUCUGGAGCUCCUGAUCCUCUGCAGGGGAUCCGAGGAGGUUCUGUGCUGUUUCCUUUGCCCAAGAAGCAAGACGCUGAGCUGGAGGAGGGCACGUGGGGCUUUGGUCCUGGGUCAGAGUACAGAGUCCUGCUGCGAGUCCGUCCUGGGAAAGCUCCCACCUGGGUCAGCCUCCAGGACAGGUACCAGCAGAGGGUCCAUGUGCCCAACAUGACGUCCCUGAAGAUUGAGAACCUGACCCCUGAGGACAGUGGGCUGUACCGGGCUCGAGUUAGCUUCACUGGAGGAGUAGAACUUACCAAGGUUUUCCACCUCACUGUCUAUGAGCCAGUGACCAUUCCCCAGAUCCUGGUCCACUCAUCAUCCAUCACACCAGGCUGGUGCAAUGUUACCAUGGAGUGCAGGACCUCAGGGGACGCAGAGGACCUGAAGGUGACCUGGGAGGGCAAGGGCCUCCCCAGGGAGCUGGAGGAGAGAGUGACAUCAGGACCAACCCCCAAUUCGUGGACCCUGGCUGUGCACCUGCCCCAGAGCCAGCCCUACACCAACAUCACCUGUGUGGUCAGCAACGAAGUGGACCAGAAAACUGCCACCUUCAACCUUGGGGAAGUCUGUGUCCAUGGUGAGUGUACCUGCCACAGGGGAGGGGCACUCUUGGAGCUCGGGUGCAGUGGAGCAAAGGUUCUGGGCUGUUGUCCACACCACGUUAUUAGAACCACCUUCCACUGGGUCGCCCCAUAUAGGAGCCUGGGAGGUACAGCCAACCCAUCUUUGCUUUUAACGGUCUCUCACAUCUAAGCCUGCCUCUCCAUCCCUUGCCCAUUCUUGUCCAGGGCAUGAGCUUUCCAGUACUCUUCCCUCCCAUCCACUAUCCAUAGCGUGUCCUCUGUAAUCUUUUGGAAAAGAAAUUGGAUUGUGUAUUGGUCUGUGUCGUCUGUGGGGUCUGACCCAGUGAUUCCCUGUAGAAUUCAGGGCUCAGACAUUUCUCUGCCCAUGUUUCUGGCUUCACUUACACACUUCGUAGUGAAUGGUGUGUGUGUAUGUGGUUGUUGUUGUUAUUUUUGUCUUUUUAGGGCUGCACCCGCGACAUAUGGAGGUUCCCAGGCUAGGGGUCCAAUCGGAGCUGCAGCUGCUGGCCUGUGCCACAGCCACAGCAAUGCGGGAUCCAAGCCACAUCUGUGAUCUGCACUGCAGCUCACAGCAAUGCUGGAUCCUUAACCCACUGAGUGAGGCCUGGGAUCGAACUCACAUCCUCAUGGAUACUAGUUGGGUUUGCUAACCCCCGAGCCAUGACGGGAAAUCCUGUUGCUGUUUUUCAGUUUUUGAAUGUGUCCUGCAAGCUUUGAGCCUCUGAUCAUGCCGUUUCCUCCACCAUCAUUCCUCCCACUCUCGUCACUUCCUGAAGGAUUCCCUUCAGGCACUGCUGCUUCAUGAGCAUGUGACAAGCACCAUCACACAGGGCCCUGCACUUGGUUAUAGUUCUGUCAUUAAUACUAUUUGAGCAAAGGGCACCUCAAUCUCAUGCUGCACAGACCCCUGCAGGUGCUGUAACUGUCCUAUCCUCAGGCAUUACCCCUUAAAAGGAGCAGUCUGUGGCCACCCCCCGCCAAGCAGCAAUGCUUUGCUAAAGGAUUUGUCUCCUUUGUAGCUGGAACACUUCGAGAGCAGAAGUCAUGUCUUUUUUUUUUUUAAUUAAAUUAUAGUUGAUUUACAAUGUUGUACCAAUUUCUGCUGUAUAGCAAAGUGACCUAUUCAUAUGUAUUUAUAUAUCUAUUUUGAUAUAUAUAUGUAUAUACAUAUAUUCUUUUUCUCAUAUUAUCUUCCAUCAUGCUUUAUCACAAAUGAUUGGAUAUAUAUAGUUCCCUGUGCUAUACAGAAGGACCUCAUUGCUUAUCCUUUCUAAAUGCAGUAGUUUGCAUCCGCUCACCCCCAAUCCCAGUCCAUUUCAUUCCCUCCCCUCUCCCCCUUGGCAACCACAAGUUUGUUUUCUAUGUUUGUGAGUCUGUUUCUGUUUUGUAAAUAGGUUCACUUGCACCAUAUUUUAGAUUCCAUGUAUAAGUGAUAUCAUUGGUAUUUGUCUUUCUGAUAUACUUAAUAUAAGAAUCCUAGUUGCAUCCAUGUUGCUGUAAAAGGCAUUGUUUUUAUCUUUUUCAUGGUUGAGUAGUAUUCCAUUGUAUAUAUGUACCAUGUCUUCCUAAUCCAUUCUUCUGUUGGUGGACAUAUAGGUUGUUUCCAUGUCUUGCUGUUGUGAAUAGUGCUGCAGUAAACAUAGGGGUGCACAUCUUUCUUUCAACCCCUGAACCAAGGACAGCUUCUGGCAAAGUUUGCUCAUGGUCAGUGUUUCACUGAGUGAAUGACCUGAUACCCUAUCAGCAGCAUCCUGGAGUUUCAAAUAAAGUUCAACACUCAACAUGACCCUUAAAACCCUCUGGAAAGAGACUCUUCCUCCCUCUGAUCCUCUUCAGCCAGCUCCUCCCUGCCAUGUCCCUCUCCUGCCUGCCACAGUAAGGUGAUGGCAGUUCUAAGGCCAAUGGUUUGCCACAGCCAUUGCCUGGACGUGGGCCUCCUCCUUCCUGGAAUGCAGUCCUCAACCUGAAUACGUAGUAAACUCCUACUCCUGCCUCAAGACUCAGUUUUAAACAUCACCUCCUCUAGGAAGCCCUCCCUGAAGACGUGUGUAUGGGUGGAAACCUCUAUUGCAUGGCAGUCUCUCUGGCUGGUAGACGUUGGUGUUUUCUCAGUGUUCUCUCUGGGUGACCACACCUUGUUCCUUCCAGUCUCCCUGAACUCAAGCAGGAGCUCAGGAGGAGGCUGACUGAAUGAACCUGCCAAGCUCCUCCCUCUUCAGCUUCUGAACCAGGACCCUUCAGACCUCUCCACGUGCUCGCUCCUCUCUUUCCCCUUGGCAAUAGGCAUCUCAAGUUCUUUCUGGCCUUAAUGUUCUCAUUCUCUCCGUGUGAGGGAAACAGGUUCACAUGGACAAGCCAAAGCUGUUGCCCUGCCAGGCAUCUUAGGGGCAGGGGCUACUGUGGCUACACUAUUACUGAUCCUUGGAAUUGGACUCUGCCUUUGGAAGAAGAAGAAGAAGAAGAAGAUGGAGACUGCAAGAGGAUUGCAGGAGGAGUCUAAGGACCGUGACGGUGGCAUCCAAUAUGUAGAGCUGAGCCAGCAGGAUUCUCGAGAGAGCACGGACCAGGGUGAUGGUGAACGACGUCUAAAUGAAAAGGAGUCUCUUAAUACUGUCUACAGUGAGGUCCAUAAGCCAGCAAGUGUGCCCAUGAAGAUAAUUUAAUUGGAGGAGGCAGAAGAAUUGACACUCCUAGGACACCUCCAUUCUGAAUUUGAUCCCUGCAGAUACCUGCCCCUACGAGUGCUGGUCCAGCACCAGCUGCCUCUGGUCUGCAUUCCUCUGACCUUUGUGCCCUCAACUCCCUGGGCUCACGUGGCCCUGUCACUUCCUCUGUCAACUCUAUAUGCUGCCUUCCACUCAGGUUCCUCACUCCAGAAGGACUAGUGCUCUUUCUCCGUCAUUGACUCUGCUCCUGAUUCCUCUCCUUCUGAAGUUUCCCUAGGAGGAUCUCCCUACCUGUGCAUGUGUUCAUCCCCACAGCCUCUGCGCUGUGGCUGGUGUGUAUCUUUCUGAGAACAGGAGCCUGGGCGUGGGGACUGUGUGGAGGUUUCGACUACACCAUAGAGGGAGUUAGGAACUUGGAGCUGGGUGUUGAGCUGAGUGUCCAUGGAGGUGGCCUGGAUGGAUGGGUAGGAGCCUACAAAAGACGGGCCUGAGGCGUCCUUUGUAUGGCAAAAGGUGUUGGAGGGACUGUCUAGUAUACAUCAUACAUGGGGGCCAGAGCCCUUGAUCCUGAUCACCCAUACUAACCUCAGCUUCAGCUCAUGGGCCUUAAAUCCAUCUCUCGUGGAAUGUGAAGAGGAAUUUGUAUUGUCUCUGGUCCUUCCAAGCCAACUCCUUUUCAGAGAAAGACCCCAGGAACCCAAUGUUGGGACUCUGUGUUCUUCCCUGUCUGGGCCAGGGGUUCUUGUCAUUAGAAUGGUCAUGCAGGGAGUUCCUGUUUUGCAGCAGUGGAAACAAGUGCUACUGGUAUCCAUGAGGAUGCAGGAUCCAGUAUUGCUGUGAGCUGUGGUGUAGGUCGCAGAUGCGGCUUGGAUCCCACAUUGCUGUGGCUAUGGUGUAGGCUGGCAGCUAUAGCUCUGAUUUGACCCUUAGCCUGGGAAUUUCCACCUCCAUGUGCUGUGGGUGUGGCCCUAAAAAGAAAAAGAAAAAGAAUGGUAGUGCAUGUUCCCCCACCACCCCCAUGGUGAGGCUGCUAUGAGGUGUGAAGGGUGAAACUUAGGGGAAGGUCUGAACCAGCCCUCUCCUGCCUCUUCUACUGACCCUCAGACCCCACAGUCCUGCUGGCCUCAGAUCCUGGGUCAGUCUCCUCUUUGCUCACUCACAUCCCUCUGCCUGGAAUGAUGGAUCCUUUACCCUGUCUCUUAUUCCCAUCCCUGGCUGUUGAAAACCUACCAACCCACCCAAAGCCUCUCUUCAAGUCACGUGUUCCAGGGAGCCUGUCUGCUACCAAGAGUUGGAAAUGUCCUCUCCCACAUCUGACCUUCUUGAACACCAUGGACAUAACUAAGGCCCUUGCUGCUAUCGGCCAUGGACUGGUCAUGCCAGACUUGCCUAGGGCUCCCUCAAGAGGGUGUUGGGGUUUAGGAGGCAAGGACCAAGAAGACAAACACCUGUCUCUAAGCCUCCUCACAACUUCCACGGGGACUCAGCAGACUGAGACCCAGAGCACAGAGGCUGCUGAAGGUCUCGCUGGUGGUGAGCCCACUUGGAAGCAAAGAGGGAUGUGAUGACCUCCCAUGACCUUGCCUGGCCCAGAGAUCUGAGGAGGGGCUUCCCCACCCCAUCUCCAGCCUCCCAUUGCCUGAGGACCUGAUACAGCCUGCACUGUGCUGUGUGGGGUCUUCUCCUCCCCCUGGGGGUUUUCAUCUCAUCAAAGCCUCUGCCUCCUGCCUUCGGUCUCAGCUCUUGGGUCAGAGAUGGGCUCGCUCUGGAACGAUGAUCUGUGGAAACUUGACUGCUGGUCUAGAUUCCUGGAUUUCUUGGUUCCCUUCCCAGCUCAGCAAGCUCAGCUGAUUCACCUCUAACUUCAGAAAGCAAAGUUCUGAGCUAAAACCUUGAGCAUGAUGAAGCAAGGCUGGGAGCCUUCUUCCCAUGGAUAAAGGAGGAUGAGAGUUUCAAUAAUAAAGCUGUUUCUAACCUC
RNAcentral lists this long non-coding RNA (5459 nucleotides) under Sus scrofa (pig). Its description in RNAcentral is "lncRNA (ENSSSCG00005005006.1)". The record is from RNAcentral. Lineage: Eukaryota; Metazoa; Chordata; Mammalia; Artiodactyla; Suidae.